GUCAGCACCACGGACAGUGACUCACAAAGCAAACCUUCUAGUGUGGGUGCAUCCUGCCAGGAGAGCGAUGUCUUUGAAGGUCUUUAUCAACUCAUUCCCCUUCUCUUCCUAGCCUUCUACUUUUUUUUAGGUCAGUAUAAUUUUUGCCUUUUCAUAAUGGGUCCUUGUCACCGCCUCUGAAGAGGAUGAAGCCUGCAUAGGACUGGAGAGGGCCCGGUGAGAUCAGAAGAUUAGCCCUCAGCUAACAUCUGCUGCCAAGCUUCCUCCUUUUGCUGAGGAAGACUGGCCCUGAGCUAACAUCCGUGCCCAUCUUCCUCUACUUUGUAUGUGGGAUGGCUGCUACAGCAUGGCUUGCCAGGCAAUGCCAUGUCCUCGCCUGGGAUCUGAACCAGCGAACCCCGGGCCACCAAAGCAGAACAAAUGCACUUAACUGCUACACCACCGGGCCAGCUCUCAUUGUAAUUUUUAAAUUUUUGUUUCUUUUGCAAUGGGCAUAAAAAAAAAUUUUAAAGCUAC
Molecule: long non-coding RNA, 516 nt
Filed under: Equus caballus (horse)
Lineage: Eukaryota; Metazoa; Chordata; Mammalia; Perissodactyla; Equidae
Description: lncRNA (ENSECAG00000048838.1)
Source: RNAcentral